RNAcentral lists this ribosomal RNA (402 nucleotides) under uncultured bacterium. RNAcentral's name for it is "partial 16S ribosomal RNA". It matches the Rfam family "Archaeal small subunit ribosomal RNA", at positions 473 to 873 of the family's 1478-position model. The record is from RNAcentral.
ACACCGGCAGCUCAAGUGGUAGCCGCUUUUAUUGGGCCUAAAGCGUCCGUAGCCGGUCUGAUAAGUCUCUGGUGAAAUCCCACAGCUUAACUGUGGGAAUUGCUGGAGAUACUAUCAUGACUCGAGGUCGGGAGAGGCUGGAGGUACUCCCAGGGUAGGGGUGAAAUCCUGUAAUCCUGGGAGGACCACCUGUGGCGAAGGCGUCCGGCGGGAGCGAACCGGACGGGGAGGGACGAAAGCCAGGGGCGCGAACCGGAUUAGAUACCCGGGUAGUCCUGGCCGUAAACGAUGUGGACUUGGUGUUGGGAUGGCUUCGAGCUGCCCCAGUGCCGAAGGGAAGCUGUUAAGUCCACCGCCUGGGAAGUACGGCCGCAAGGCUGAAACUUAAAUGAAUUGGCGGGG